AUGAGAAAUACACCACUGAGAUUGUGGGACUGUUUGUUACAGCAGCAUACCCUAGCAAAAGCUGACUGUUACAGUCAUUCAGUAAACAUGGGCCAUUGCUCCCCGCACUUCUCUGAGAUCACACCAAUCACACCUGGGAUGCAAAGCUUCCUCCAAAAUGACAGGGGCUGAAGUCGGGACGUCUGAGAUCAUUAUACUGAUGGCUCCAUAUCUCUCUUUAUAGCAGUUAUCCCAUUGCCAAGCACGUGGCAGGCACUCACUGUACACUUCAUGAUAACUGCAUGAAUCCUGGAGAUCUAAGCGUGAAAUUGUAACUGUGAAUUGGUUGAGUUCUACAGGAUAAAAAG
Long non-coding RNA from Bos taurus (domestic cattle), 347 nucleotides. NCBI's taxonomy places the organism in Eukaryota, Metazoa, Chordata, Mammalia, Artiodactyla, Bovidae. The record is from Ensembl.